AAAGCAGUCCUGCACUUCCAGUUGUGAGCCAAGAGCCAAGUGUGGGAGCUCACUAUGGUGGCAGCCACCUCCCCACCAAGCAGGCAGCGUUCACCAGAGGGGAGUAUCAGGUUCCUGUACUCAGCUGUGGGUUGUCACCGUCUAAUAAUAUGACCGUUUUGCCAUCUCUCUGCAAAUGAGGCUGAAGCUGCUAUCUGAUUGCUUUUUGCAAUCUUUGCAUUUGCAACAUGCGGUGGCUAUUCCGGAGGCCUGCGGCUGAGUGUGGACUGUGUCAACAAGACAGAAAGUAACCUCAGCAUCGACAUAGCGUUUGCCUACCCAUUCAGGUUGCAUCAGGUGACGUUUGAGGUGCCCACCUGCGAGGGAAAGGAACGGCAGAAGCUGGCAUUGAUUGGUGACUCCUCGUCUUCAGCAGAGUUCUUCGUCACUGUUGCUGUCUUCGCCUUCCUCUACUCUUUGGCUGCCACUGUCGUUUACAUUUUCUUCCAGAACAAAUACCGGGAAAA
RNAcentral lists this small RNA (506 nucleotides) under Pongo abelii (Sumatran orangutan). RNAcentral describes it as "processed transcript". Lineage: Eukaryota; Metazoa; Chordata; Mammalia; Primates; Hominidae. The record is from RNAcentral.